CUAAAUUGGUAAUUUUCAUGUUUUUGGCCUUCUAGUAGAUUAUAUGAACUGUGUAAGCUUGUUCCUAAGGCAUGUAGUUAAGAAUUUUGCUCGUAAUAUCGCAAGUAGCUAGACCAUCAACACAUGAUUCGUAUGAGUACAAAAGUGUUCAUAAUAAUAUCAGAUCAUACAUCAAGCUGAUCAUCAACUCAUAUUUUUCCCCUUAAUUAUGACCACUUGGUCUUUUUAUAGAUCCACUUCAGAGGAUUACAAAUAUAGUACUAUUACUAUAUACUUGACUUUAAGUUGCUUUUUAGAGCAAUUAUUUAAGUUCUUGAUAUCAAGCAGAACAAUCCAUACAUAUUAACGUGAAAUGGACGUAGGUCGUUUCAAUUAGUAUGGACUUUCGCCUCUAUAAUUACCUGGAGGAUCAUAGUUGCAAGAGACAACAUAUCCUCCAUUGUUACACUGAACCCUAGCACAUCCAACACGAACCGAGUUACGCCAAACCACCUGAGUAUAGUGUCCACACACCUGUCCUUGUGCACAAGUAUUUGAGUCAUGGUCAUAAUACUGUUUCUCAUCGACCCACAUCUCAACGGCCUUAGCAGCCGUCAUGAAAUCGCCACUUCCCUCAGCUAGGUUUUCGCCGUAUUGACCAUGAGAAUGUACGAGGUUACAAUCUGCAGCCAAUUGGGAAGCAUAAUUUUGCGCAUAGGCUGCUACCUGGUCGUCCCAGGUCAAAGGUUCUACACCUACAUCUGCACGAGCUGUGUUAUGGGCAUCCAAAUAGUCUUGUUGAGAAUUUUGGGCACGGCAAGAGUGGGAUAUUACUAGGAAUAAGAGAAGUGUAGAGACAAGAAGAAAUGAAGGCAAUUGUGAAAAGAGAACAAAUCCCAUGACUAUAGGAGAAAUGUUGUAUCUUGAAUGGAAAAACUAGAUUUACUACCAAGGGUAUUUAUAGGAGAAAUCUUGAAGAUUUCACGGUGAUUAUUCAUGUACUUACUAAAUUUUUUGACAUGGUAAUAUCAAUGUAAUAUAUCCUGUUAUAGAUAAUUUAUCCUAUUUUCUAGGUUACCAUAUUAAACUUAUAUAUGCAGUUACCAAUUGUUGUAAAAUAGUUUUACCCGAUGUUGCAAAAUAAUUUUAAAUUGUCAAUGCAUGAAGUUAAACACUUUUUUGAUCUAUCAGAUGUGCUUUUUGUUAAAUAAAGUAGACUGGUUAUGGUUAAUGUGUUAAUUAAUAUUUUCUACAUUUAACGAUCUGAUUAAUUUUUACUUCCAUAUUUAUAUCUCUUUUUUUUCAGAAUGGGAAUGUCCAUUGGAAAAAGAAUUUAAAAUAAAUACUUUGAUGUUUGAUUUUUCUAAUAAUCUUAUUUCUAAAUCUUAUAUUAUAUUUCUUAUAUGUACAAUCAAUUCUCUAAAAGAAAAAACUAUAAUAAUACCAAACACAGUUUGUGUCUUCUUCUUUCUUUUCUCAAUAUUUGUGGAAAACUUGAACAUGGCCGUCAUCUCGAUGACGUUAAAUAACUAUCAAAUUUGGACGUAAAGAAUAUUUGGAUAUUCUUCAGUUCUUUCUCUAAUUUCCUUCCCUUAAUUUCCAACUUGAUGUUACUCAUGUACUAUCAUACUUUUCUAUUAUCUCAUUCCAAUCACGGCUUGAUCUGGAGUAUAAAUAAAUUUCUAUUUUCUUAUCCCAAUCACGACUUGACUUUAGAUUCAAAUGGAGUAUUUUUUUAUUUUUUGUAAAUAGCUUAUGUUUAUUUCGUUUUUCGACAUUAGUGGAAAAGAAAGCUCAAGUUUUAGUGAAGCUAGAGUUUGAAAUCCUCGAGGGUGUUUUAAGAUUUAACUACUUUAUUUUUCCAAGAAAUAGCACCCUAAAGCAUCUCGCUGUAAUGGCGUUCACUUAUUUUCCCUUUAAUUUAAAUGGAUAAAUGACAACCAAACUCCUUAAAAAGACUUCGGCCAAUGCUUUAGGUGGUGAAGUAUAGACCCAAUACUUACAAGAGAGACCAGUGUUUUUGUUAUGCAAAAAGAGUAAUUGAAGAAUUUUGUAACUAUUGCCAUUUAGCAAUUUGNNNNNNNNNNCNNUCACUUUUGUUUGACAUGUAUACUAAAAAUAGAUUUUCAUUUUUACUUUUCACUUUAUGCAUGUUAAGAGAAGACAAUUUUUUUUUCCUGUUAUACCCACAGUAUUUAUUACUCAUUUCAAAUCAUUUUCUCAAAUCCAAUAAAAUAUGCAUCAAUUAAUAUGGGUAUCAUGGUAAAUUAUGCAUUUCAAUCAUUUUUUCUUAAAGGGUUUGAAAAAUCAAAACGUGUCAAGUAAAAGUAAACAGAGUACAUAUUAUUGUAAAUUAACUUAUCGUGAUGAUUAAAAAAAUUAUAGUCUAUUAGAUGCAAAAAAAAAAAAAAUGAAAACUUAGACCCUACACUAUGAUAAUUGACAUCCUCGUAUAUCUUAGUCCUUAAAAACGUUUAUGUGCUACGAUCCCUAGGUAAAGGUUUGCGCCAUCAGGGUCGCAAAUUGUGCCUCACGACUUGACUAUAAGAUCAAAAUUAAGGUAUCUUAAUUAAUUUAUUCUAUUGAUAAUAGAGCUUAAAAUUCAAAUGUUCUUGAGGUUUUACUUUUCUUAUUGCAAUACAUUCCUCAUUAACUUUAUAGAACAAAAAAAAUGAUACAGUGAGAAAUCAUAGUUGCAAAUCUGAUUGUCAAGAUUUAUCAGAUUUGGGUUCAAAGAAAGUAGAAUAACUUUAUCUUUCAGCAAAUUUGUAUGGACUUAUUUGAGUUAUGCAUUGCUUGGUUCAUCUCUUAUGAUGUAUUGAAGGUUCUCUACGUAGCAUGUCAUGAGUGAAGAAUCAAAAUAGAAUUGCAAGCUCAAUAUUAAAAAGAAUAACUGAAAGUAGAAUUGAAAUUUUUGUGGAAGAAAAUAAUUGGAUAGUUUAUUCAAUUCACGAAUGGCCUUAUAUAGGCAUACAAAUUAGCUUGAAUAUGUUAUCCCACUAAACAAACUCUCCUAAACUUUAGGAAAAAUAUCUGCAACUAACAAUAACAAAAUAACAACUUGAAGCUAAAAACUAGCUAUACUACUGACUUAGUCAACACUACAAGUUGUACAUGGCACAAGUGCAGGAUUAAAGUUGCAGGCACCAUCAGCGUCGUACAUUGUGCUACAGCCUACAAGAGUUGACUCCAACACAAAGAAUGAGAAAAGAAUCAAUACAAACGGAAAGGUAAACAUCUUUACUGGGAUUGUGAAUGCUUUUAUUUGUUUUGAUUCCUUUUAGGCAAUUCGGAUCAGGUUAACCCGGAUUCAUGUAGAUGACGUGAAUUAUAGCACACGAAAAUUUGUAAAUCGACCCGAAUUUCAGUUUUUUAUCCCUAAAAUGCCAAAAGAAGAGGAACGGUCAUGCUGAAGCCAUGAUUAUUGUUCAUUAGGUUAUUUUUUAUGGCCCCGCAAACUGAAAAUUCUGGAUAUCGGGUAGAAUUCCAGCUUUACGGUCGUAAAACACAAAACACGAGGAACGGUCAUGGCAAGGAAAUGACUAAUAUUCCUUAGAUCAUUUUUUAUGGGACGGUAAAAUGGCGACUCGGGUCUGGUCGCUCGAACUAUGCAGAUGGCAUGGGCUAUAGCACACAAAAAUUUAGAAAUCAAGUAGAAUUCCAGUUUUGUGGGCCUAAAAUGCCAAAUAAUGAGUAAACGAUGACUAGUAUUUCUUAGGUCAUUUUUUAUUGGUCGGAAAUUUUUUAGGUGAUUCGGGUCCAGUCGUCCAGACCCAUGUAGAUGACGUAAGCUAUAACACACGAAAAUCUAGGAAUUAUACGGAAUUAAAAAAUUUAUGGCCCUAAAAUACCCAAAAAUGAGGAAUGGUCAUGGCGAGGCGAAGACUAAUGUUCCUUAAGUCGUUCUUGAUGGGCCAAAAACUUUUUAGGCGAUUCAGGUCUAAUCGCUCAGACCCAUGCAAAUGGCGCGAGUUAUAUAGCACAGAAAAUUUGGAAUUGGUCGAAUUCCAAUUUGUUGGCCUUAAAAUGCCAAAAAAUGAAGAACGGUCAUGCUUAAGUCAUGACUAUUGUUCAUUAGGUAAUUUUUAUGGCCCUGCAAAAUUUUAGUUUAUUCGAAUUCGGUAGUCUGAAUUCAUGCAUAUGGCUAUAGCACACGAAAAUUUGAAAAACGACCUGAAUUCUAAUUUUUUGGCCCUAAAAUGAAAAAAAAAGGAACAUUGUUCAUUCAGUCAUUUUUUAUGGUCCCGCAAAAUCUUAGGCGAUUCCAAUCCAGUAGCCCAGAUUCAUGCAGAUGCGUGGACUAUAACACAUGAAAAAUUAGAAAUCUGCCGGAAUUUCAAUAUUUUGGCACUAAAAUGCCUAAAAAUAAGGAACGGUUACGCCGAAGCCGUGACUAUUAUUCAUUAGGUCACUUUUAUGGUCCAGUAAAAUUUUAGGAGAUUCAGAUCGGGUAGCCCUGAUUCAUGUAGAUGGCGUGGAUUAUAGCAUACGAAAAUUUGGAAAUCUGCCCGAAUUCUAAUUUUUUGGCCUUAAAAUACCAAAAAUCGAGGAAUGGUAAUGCCAAAAUCAUGAUUAUUGUUGAUAAGUUCAUUUUUUAUGACCCCGUAAAAUCUUAGGCGAUUCGGAUCCGGUAGCCUGGAUUCAUGCAAAUGGUGUAGACGAUAACACAUGAAAAUUUGAAAAUCGACCCCAAUUAUAGUUUUUUGGCCCUAAAAUGCAAAAGCCUAGGAACGUCCAUGUUGAAGCAAUGACUAUUAUUCGUUAGGUAAUUUCUUAUGAUCGUGUAAAAUUUUAGUCAAUUCGGAUCCAGUAUCCCGGAUUCAUGCAGAUGGCCUGGACUAUAAAGGAAAUUUGGAAAUUGGCCUAAUUCCAGUUUUUUGGCCCUAAAAUGCAAAAAAUAAGGAAAUGUCAUGCCGAAAACCAUGAAAAUGAUUCAUUAGGUUAUUUUUGUGGUCCCUCCAAAUUUUAGGAUAUUCAAAUCUGGUAACCCGAAUUCAUGCACAUAGAACGGAUUAUAACACACGAAAAUUUAAAAAUCGACCUGAAUUCUAUCUUUUUAGACCUUAAAUGCCAAAAAAGAGGAACAGUCAUGCCGAAGCCAUGACUAUUGUACAUCAUUUUUUAUGGACCCCGCAAAAUUUUAGGCGAUUUAGAUCCGGUAGGCCAGAUUAUUGUAGAUGGCGUGGACUAUAGCAUGCAAAAAAUUAGAAAUCGGCCCGAAUUCUAGUUUUUUGCCCUAAAUUGCCAAAAAAACAGGGAACGAUAUGUCGAAGCCAUGACUAUUAUUCAUUAAGGCAUUUUUUAUAGCCCCAUAAAAUUCGAUAUCCACACCUAAAAUAGCUAUCACUUCGCCAUGAUUGUUCAUUGUUUUUUGAAUUUUAAGACCAUAAAACAGGAAUUCAGGAUAACUUCUAGAUUUUCGUGUGUUAUAGUCCGUGCAUCUACAUGACUCGGGUGUCCGGUCCCGAAUUUACUAAACUUUUGCAGUCCAAUAAAAAAUGACCUAAUGAAUAAUAGUCAUCGUUUCGCCAUGAUCGUUUCUCAUUUUUGCUGUUUUAGGGCCACAAACAGAAAUUCAUGACGAUUCCCAGAUUUGCGUGUGCUCUAGUCCACGCUAUCUGUAUAAAUUCUGGUGACUAUUUUAGAAUCUCCUAAAAUUUUGUAGGCCCAUCAAAACUGACAUAAUGAACAAUAGCCACCGCUUUCUCGUGAUUAUUCCUCAUUUUUUUGGCGUUUUAGAGCCAUAAAAUAGGAAUUCAGGACGAUUCCCAGAUUUUAGUGUGCUAUAGUCCACGCUAUUUGCAUGAAUUCAUGCGACCGACUUCGAAACUCCUAAAAAUUUUGGGUUCCAUAAAAAUUGACCGGAUGAUCAAUAGUCAUCGCUUCGCCAUUACCCACCGUCUUUAUUUGGCAUUUUAAGGCUAUAAAAUAGAAAUUCAAGACGAUUCUCAAAUUUUCGUGUACUAUAAGUCUACACCAUAUGCAUGAAUUCGGGCGACCGAACCAGAAUCUCCUAAAAUUUUGUGGAACUAUAAAAACGACCUAAUUAGUAAUAAUCAUCGUUUCACCAUGAUUGUGCCUCAUUUUUUGGCUUUUUGGACCAUAAAACAGGAAUUCAAGAUGAUUCCUAUUUUUGUGUGCUAUAGUCCAUGCCAUUUGCAUAAACUCGGGCAACCGGCCUAGAAUCUAUUUUGCGAGCCCAUCUAGAACGAUGUAAUGAACAAUAGACAUAGAUUCGCCAUGACUGUUCUUUAGUUUUUGGCGUUUUAGGGCCAUAAAAUAGGAAUUCAAGACUAUU
This 6277-nucleotide long non-coding RNA is filed under the name Nicotiana tabacum (common tobacco). RNAcentral's name for it is "long non-coding RNA (NTAB_LNC003244)". The record is from RNAcentral. Lineage: Eukaryota; Viridiplantae; Streptophyta; Magnoliopsida; Solanales; Solanaceae.